This 440-nucleotide ribosomal RNA is filed under the name uncultured bacterium. RNAcentral describes it as "partial 16S ribosomal RNA". It matches the Rfam family "Bacterial small subunit ribosomal RNA", at positions 338 to 795 of the family's 1533-position model. The record is from RNAcentral.
CCUACGGGGUGCAGCAGUGGGGGAUAUUGCACAAUGGGGGAAACCCUGAUGCAGCGACGCCGCGUGGGUGAAGAAGCGCCUCGGCGCGUAAAGCCCUGUCAGCAGGGAAGAAAAUGACGGUACCUGAAGAAGAAGCCCCGGCUAACUACGUGCCAGCAGCCGCGGUAAUACGUAGGGGGCAAGCGGUAUCCGGAUUUACUGGGUGUAAAGGGGGCGCAGACGGCGAUGCAAGCCAGGAGUGAAAGCCCGGGGCCCAACCCCGGGACUGCUCUUGGAACUGCGGGGCUAGAGUGCAGGAGGGGCAGGCGGAAUUCCUGGUGUAGCGGUGAAAUGCGUAGAUAUCAGGAGGAACACCGGUGGCGAAGGCGGCCUGCUGGACUGCAACUGACGUUGAGGCCCGAAAGCGUGGGGAGCAAACAGGAUUAGAUACCCGAGUAGUC